UUGUGGAUCUAGGCACCGACGGC
This 23-nucleotide non-coding RNA is filed under the name Mus musculus (house mouse). Lineage: Eukaryota; Metazoa; Chordata; Mammalia; Rodentia; Muridae. The record is from RNAcentral.